Long non-coding RNA from Clupea harengus (Atlantic herring), 1196 nucleotides. The record is from Ensembl. Lineage: Eukaryota; Metazoa; Chordata; Actinopteri; Clupeiformes; Clupeidae.
GGGGGGAGCUAAAGGUUUCUGCUUUUCUUUUUCUUUCUAUUUGUUUGUUUUGCCCAAGGUCUAGAUUCAUGAAUAGUAAACCAUGCACAUAAGACUAUAGCAGAAAUACGAGAUCUACAUGGCUUCAGUGACUUAAAUGUGUGUAGGUGUGAUUAUUGCCUUGGAAAUACUUUCAGCUCAGAGGAGGAUUUCAAGAAAACUUGGCAUCAUUUCUGAUGCGAUUCCUCCCAUGUCCCUUUGUAGUAAUACAUUUCUCAUUUCAUUCCUAAGAUCUGUCCAUGGCAACCACAGAAAGUAGGCUACCCAAUGCCUGUCCAGAGUUCACACAGGGUGCUGGGUCAGGCCGUCUGUCAAAGUCUGCGCCGCCAAUCACUCUUAGCCCACCCUUACACAUUACCCUUUUCCUCUUUGUUUUUUGUUUUUUUUCAGAGCACAAUAUUUUGCAUUACUCAAUAACCCUUGUGGCUUAUCAAGUGAAACUGUGAAUGCCUGUCAGAUGAUCAUUGGUUUGGACAGUACCAAAGAAGAAGAAGCAGCUAGCAACGUCCAGUUGGCACCACACUGGUCUGGUAAGAUUGGUAAGAUUGGUUGGCACCACACUGGUCUGGUAAGAUUGGUAAGAUUGGUUGGCACCACACUGGUCUGGUAAGAUUGGUAAGAUUGGUUGGCACCACACUGGUCUGGUACGUCAGAGUAAAGAACAACUCCUUGGGCUCCAUUUCAUUAGUUGUGUUUUAUUUACAUUAGUUGUUUUUUAUUUACAUUAGUUUGUUUUUUAUUUACAUUAGUUGUUUUUUAUUUAUAUUAUUUGUUUUUUAUUUACAUUAGUUGUUUUUUAUUUACAUUGCUUGUUUUUUAUUUACAUUAGUUGUUUUUAUUUACAUUGCUUGUGGCAACAGUGACCAAGAAAAGUCUUUUUGAGGCAGAGUGAUCAGUUGGAUCUCAGUAAGAGAGGGGGAAAGAAGUGCACUGGAAAGAGAUCAAGGCAUGUGUAAAUACUGCAUGGUCACCAGUCCUUUGCCACCAAUACAGCAAGUUGUCUCUGAGCUACUGCAGCUGCGAGUCUGAAUACUUUGGCAGUAUGAGUGGAAGUUAUGCAUGAAAACGCUAGUUUACUGAUCCACCCGGUAAGUUAUCAUGGGCUCCCUUUAUAAUUCUGCACUAUCUAACAGUUUCUCCUGUGUGUGUGUGUGUGU